Long non-coding RNA from Mirounga angustirostris (Northern elephant seal), 10145 nucleotides. RefSeq lists it as uncharacterized. The transcript has 4 exons. The record is from RefSeq and is a predicted model, not a curated record. Lineage: Eukaryota; Metazoa; Chordata; Mammalia; Carnivora; Phocidae.
AGGUCUAGCAAUCUGCGGUCCUGUCUUAACCGUGGCAUUUCCUUUCAGUAUAAGCUUGGUUUCUGUGCUCUUUUCUGUAAAAAUAGGGAUAUUUAGACUUGCCUGGCCUAUCUUGCUGGGCUGCUUCAGGCGAAUUGCGUGAAAUAAUAGCUUUGAAAUCACUGAAGAGGACAGGAGAUGGAUGUAGGUUACAGUCUUGGGACUUUAUGUCAUCCGAUAUCGUGCUUCUGCUACUCCCUCCAGCCUGCAACUCAGUUUGAAGGUCAAUUAAUAAAAGUUUCUGGAGCAUCUACUCUGUGUCUGUACUUUCCCAGGCUCUGGAGGAACAGUGGGUGCAUGGAUCCAGCACUCGAGUGAGAGACAGACGCCAAGUCAACAGAAUAUACAAGUUUAUCUAAGAUGAGGGAAGUUUGGCCAAAGACACCAGCCAGGGGCUGAGCUGAAGAUGAACCGCCCUGGUUGGCUCAGUCAUCUUAGAGGAGGGCGUGCGUCUACCCGAGACGUAAAGGCUGCUGUGAUGGGUUGAAUUAUGGUCCCACCCUCCUCCAAAGAUAUGUCAAAGUCCUAACCCCCAGUACCCGUGAGUGUGACCUUAUUUGGAAAUGGGGUCAUUGCAGAUGUAGUUGGUUAAGAUGAGGUGAUACCGGACUAGGGCGGACCCUUCAUCUGACGUGACCGGCGGCCUUAGAAGAAGAGAGACAAACGCAGAGGAAAACACCUCUGAAGACGGAGGCAGGGUCUGGAGCGAUGCAUCUGCAGGCCUGGGAAUACCAAGCUCUGCUGGCGACACCAAAAGCUAGAAGAAGCAAACAAGGAUCCACCCCUACGGUGCUCAGAGGGAACACAGUGCUGCUGACACCUUGGUUUUGGACUUCUGGUUGCCCGAAUUGUGAGACCCUUCUGUUGUUUUGAACCACCCGGUUUGUGGUCCUUCGUGACAACAGCCCCAGGAAACGAAUAUCGAUCUGUAGGAGCCAGAGAGAGAGAGCACACAAGCAGGGGGAGAAGCAGGCUCUCCACUGAGCUGUAAUGGACAAAGUCAAGAGAAGGAAGAGAAUGGAAGGUACUGCUCAAGAUUUAUCCAGUGGGUACUCCGAUGUGUUCCCCAGAAACUUUAUUGUCUCAGCUGUAAACUAUUUUGGAAACCAGAGCCCUUCGGACUUCUAAAGGAGCUCGAUCCUUCUAGCAUAUCCCUCUUGAAAAUGAAGAAUCGAACAAGACAGUUGCUGCUUGGCCCUGGGCAAACGUGGAUUGAAGGUGCCCAUCAUGAUCUCCGUGUUUCUCUGGGGAUGGAGGGCGACUGACAGCCGUGUAGUAUUAGUACAAUGGUAUCAACAUGGAGCCUGUAUUUGAAAUUUUGUUUCCCAUCCUGCCUUGAGAACAUUUUUUGCUUUUUUCACAAGAUCUGGACAGUGGAGAUCGGGAAAGGUUUAACAUAUGAUCAUUCAUAACAACUUGGCUUAUUGCAAGAAGGGGGGAAAUAUUCAUAGAUGAAACAUUAGAAGUGUUAAAAAUGCAGGUGCAUUGACUGCCAGAAUCACAUCACAGGAGCUAAUGUUCCCAAACUCCUAACCUCAAAACCCAGACAAAAUAUUCAGUGCACUGCACUAGAAACUUCUGUCCUGGGACUAUUAUUACCCUUUGCAUUCUGGAGGACAAGUGGGACGGGCAUAAAUCUGUCCCUUUCCCCUUUCAACGACUGAAUGUUGCUUCUGUUCGAGUCCGCUGCUUUCACCACGUUCCCGGGCUCCGCACAGAAACGGGUUGUGCGGAGCUUCGUGAGCGAAUAUCGAGGCGCCAUGGAGACAUGCUGCCAUAAAAGUGUCUUCUCUCAUUUUCAAGGUAAACAAAUGUUAUUGCCACCAGGAAAUAGACCACAUGAAAAGAAACGUCGGGAACCUGGAAGAGCUGCCCAGGCAGUAAUUCUUUUCGGUUUCCAAGUUCAUUACCCUCAUUAACUCAAGUCAAUGGGACAGAACAAAAGGCUUCUCAAAAGCCCCAUAAACAUGAGGCAUACAUAUUUUAAAUCUCCAGCUAUAAAAUAAUGAAGCUGAUUUUUCUUCUUGCUCACGGUGCCCGUCCAGUUUUUCCCUUAUGAUAAGUGUGCCUUGUAAUAUAGUCCUUGCAUCCUGUGUUACAAAGUACUAUCUUGAACUCACUGAUGGUUGGUGGGGGCGGGGGGGGGGGCAUGGAAGGCAAACAGCCAUAACGCUGACUUUCCCUGUUUAGACUGUAGGAGGUGGCAGGUGUCACAGGGAACUUGUUGAGAAACAUGCAUGUCUGCAGGUGGAAGGUUAAGCCCUGUGAAGGUGCAAGGGUCCCCACUUCUGUGAAAUUUCUGCGGGUCUGGGGGUCUGGCACAUGCUGGGACUUCCCCUCCAAUGUGAAGGGAUGGCUGCUGCGCUUCGGGUCCCCUGCCAUCAGAUAUGGAAGAUGCACAUGCUUGGGUUUUGGAAGCUACCUAUGGCAUAUGUGGAUGACCUGUUCUUGCCGAUUUACUGGGUGACUCAAAAAGCCACCAGCUUGGAGAGUGAGAGAAGGCUCUUGAGCAGGGCCAGGCUACAGUUCAGUGGCUCUGACCCUCAGAGUUCACGGCCCACCCUCCUACCGUCAGGAGUCGCUGGUGGCUCUCUAAGAUGCUGUGAUGGUUUAUUUUACAUGUCAACUUGGAUGGCCCAUGGUGUGCCCGGUUAUUUGGUCAAACGUUAUUCUGGGUGUGUCUGUAAGGGCUGUUUCUGGAUGAGAUUAACAUUGGAAUCAGUAGACUGAGGAAGGAAGAGUGCCCUCCCCAAUGUGGGUGGGCCCUAUCUAAUCAGUUGAGGGCCUGAAGAGAACAGAAAUGCUGACACUCAUGAAUAAGAGGGAACUUCUCCUGCCUGAUGGCCUUGACCUGGGACAUUGGUCUUUUUCCAGCCUUUGGACUCAAACUGAAACAUUGGCUUUUCCUGGGUCUUGAGCCUGCUGGCAUAUGGACUGAAAAUUUCACCAUCAGCUCUCCUGGGGCUCUGGCUUGCUGACUGAAAUCUUGGGACUUCUCAGUGAGCCAACGCCUUAUAAUAAGAUAAGAGAGAGAGAGAGAGGAGAUAUUUAUAUUUAUAUUUAUAUUUAUAUUUAUAUUUAUAUUUAUAUUUAUAUAUAAAGGUUCUGUUUCUCUGGAGAUUCCUGACUGAUACGGAUGGGGAAAUGAUCCUCUGAAGCUCAGACAUGGCAUUGUGAGUUGGGAGUCAAGAGCCUAUGAAGCUCUCUAUCCUUCAGGAGGUAGGACGUCCAACCCCCAUCCAGAGGUCCAUGCUCGAUGCUUUUCUCCUUGUGGCUGAAAUAUGUAUGUCUGGGGACCCCAGGAUGGAGGUGGGAGUGAUGCCUCUCUUGGUGGCACCCCAUGUUUUCUUCCUAUCCCCUCUGUGGCCAUGGCUCUGUUGGUUUACGGGUUUUAGUUUCCAGACACAGUAAUGGUUCUACCCUGAGACUCUCCCAGGCGAUUUUUGACAUCUUAUGCCUUUGGACAAAUAGAUUUCCCCCUCCCAAAGUGGGCAGGUUUCUAAUAUUGGCUGAAAUGAUGGAUCCUGUUGAGGGGAAUCAGGUUGCUGCCACAAGUGUGGGGGUGGGGGGGCUUGUGGCCCUGAGUCUGCGAGCUAAAACUCUUCCCCCUGCCAGAGGCAAACACUGAUGGGGGGGCGCAGCCCUGCACAGGGCAGUCUCCACACUCCUGCUACUGGAGGCCCCACUGCCUCCCAUCAUGCACUCAUCCCACAUUACGUAUAUUUGCUAUUAAAUUUCUGAAGAGGGUUUUACAAUUUUGCUUUUGACAUUAUUAUUCAUUUGAUGUUCUGUCUUCUCCGUCUUUUUUGUGGCCAAUAUUUCUUUCAAAUUUUAAUCAUGUCCAAAGAUGCUUGAAAUGUUUGUAGGCUCGGGGCUCCUGGGUGGCUCAGUCGAUUAAGCAUCUGCCUCCGGCUCAGGUCAUGAUCUCAGGGUCCUGGGAUCGAGCCCCAGAUCGGGCUCUCUGCUCAGUGGGGAGCCUUCUUCUCCCUCUCCCUCUGCCUGCUGCUCCCCCUGCUUGUGCUCUCUGUCAAAUAAAUAAAUAAAAUCUUGAAAAAUAAAUAAAUAGGGGUGCCUGGGUGGCUCAGUCGUUAAGCGUCUGCCUUCGUCUCAGGUCAUGAUCCCAGGGUCCUGGGAUCGAGCCCCACAUCGGGCUCCCUGCUCUGCGGGAAGCCUGCUUCUCCCUCUCCCACUCCCCCUGCUUGUGUUCCCUCUCUCGCUGUGUCUCUCUCUGUCAAAUAAAUUAAAAAAUCUUAAAAAAUAAAAAUAAAUAAAUAAAUAAUGCUCGUCGGCUCGAGGCAUUGUGUGCCCAGAGGGUCUAAUGGAAAAAAAUAACUUAGUCCAUCUAGAAGGACGACAUGACCACAGGAUCUGAUCUGCCACAGUGAAGGUCUGAGUCCCCCCAACCAGCUCAGAAUGGGGAGCCAGCCGGGGGAAGGUGCCGGGGGAAGGAAGAACAGGAGUGUGUCUGUGUGCCCAUAUGUGUGUGUGUUGGUUUCUAGUUAACUGACCUCUUUUUUUCUUUGCUUUACGGUUACGUGUGUUAUAGGUUUUAGGGGCUAAGUUUAACCUUUAAUCCAAAGUUUGCAUUAUGUCCACAUGAGAUCGUGGUAGAACCAGAAGAAGAGCAGACUUUCCUGCAGAUCCUGAGUUUGAAGCUGGAUACAUUUGUGUAUGAGUUAUUGGGAGCUGGGUGAUUUCCAUUUGCAUAGAUAGUAAUUGUAUUCUAUUUCAGGCAUAUCUGGAGUUAUUUGUAUAUACAGCAGGGUGUGUGGGCAUUAGGCAGUCAGGGAGUGGACUAGAAUGACUGUCUUGCUGCCGGCUUGGCAUUCAUGCUUUUUUCUUUCUUUUUUUUUUUUUUUUUUGAGAGAGAGUGUGAGUGGGGGUUGAGGGGCAGAGGGAGAGGGAGAGAGAGAAUCUUAAGCAGGCUCCACGCCCAUUGCAGAGGCCAUGGUGGGGCUUGAUCUCACGACCCCGAGAUCAUGACCUGAGCUGAAAUCAAGAGUGGGACCCUUCACCGAUGCGUCACCCAGGAGCCCCCCUGGUAUUCCUUCUUCCCCCUUCUGAUGCAGCAUGCUAACACUGGUUGGGAACUUAGUCCUCUCUUAUUGGAUACAGUCUUGAAAAAACUGUCAGUUAAAAUGUUCCUCCUUCCCCUGCAAAGGGCUGGAUGCAUGACAUAAGUCAGAUCAGUCAAAUACUUUCUCCCUGAAAUUGGAAUCUCUAGCAGGAUUACACCAAAGUUUCAAAUGGCCGGAGCUAUGUUGCCUCAGAAGGAACGGCCUAGGGAAAUCGUCACUUUGUUCCUGUUCCUACAUCUCUGCUCUUGUUCUGAGUCUGGUUCUUCCCCUCUGACUUUAUCCUACGGGCUACUCCAUGUCCUUCUAAUAAAUUCCACUGUGGUAUAAAUUGGCCAGAGCGUUGUCUCUGCAGUUGAACGCAUGGCAGCAGGGACCACUACCCUGGGAGGGUGUGCGGUGAGAACGGGAGGGAAGAGGAGGGGGAGAGAGGAGCGGACAACAAUGAGGGGCAGCCCAGAGCCUGGAGGAAGGCGUGGAGAAUCCAAGGCAGAGCCGCAGGGAGAGGUGAUGGCCAGUGGGAGACUCCGGGCAGCAGGGUCAGAACCUGCUGGGAGGCCAGGGACUGAUACGUGCCCACUGCAUCUACUGAUGGUUUCAGUGUGUACCUUGAGGACAGGUGGGCAAAGCUUGACUGCCGUGGGCUGAGGGGUCCGUGGAAGUGAGGGUAGACAAUAUUUAGUUAAGAUACAAGUUCGGCUGCUUUUGCAUGGAUCACAGUGGCUCGGACAACAUGGGAGGGCUAAUUCUCUCUCAUGUGAAGCCCAGCACCCCUUAGGUGGGUGGUUCUGUUCCAUGAGGUCAUCCUUUGACUGAGCUCCUCCUACAAGUCACUCUGCUGUCCCCAGGGUGUUUUUUACAUCCAUCUAACCAAAGCCAAGCAGUCAGGCAGUGAAGGAAAGAGAUGGGGACGAGCUGGGGGAGCGCUGGCGUCCCGGGUCCACAGGGGCAAUAGAAGGAGAUGUUGAGGGUGUAAGAAAAGUCGAUGAUAAGAGAGGGAGAGCUUAGAGAAGGAGGGGCCAUAGGUCAGUGUGCAGAGAACUUGACCUUGGAUAGGAGGAUGGAAAGGAGGAAAAGAUAGAAGAAAAUACAAAGGGGUUUGUGGGCUUGAUGACUGGUAGCAGAGAGCAUCUGUUGGCCACCAUUUGCUGUAUAAAAUAGGAAACCAAGUCUCCUGCUAAAAUCAAAUGGGAAGGAGGGCAGCUGGGUGUCUGAGAGAGGGGAGACAGAAAUAGUCCUUGCUGGGGGGCUGGGCAGGUGAGCAUGAUGGAGAUCGCUUGGCAAGAUCCAAGAGUACAGGGGAAGUUGGUGAGUGGCACCCCAAUCUUGGUGGCUGGGAGAUUUCUCCGGUCAGGGGUGCUAAGCAAAUCAGGUACAGGAUUAGGUUUCUCCCAUCCAAGUUCCUAUGGGGGAAAGAAACGAGGAUGCCUUUAUUGGAAUGAUCACAUAAGCAUUUCAAUUUGUCUCCUAAAACACAGCACAGAAAAACAAUCCCCGUUUUUGCAAUACUGGGUCUGGGGAACAGUACUGGUGAGAAUCAAUGCUUUCAUAAAGUCAAACUUCUAUUGGUUGUUACUCAGACCUUUGAAACGAAUGCACACAUCUUCUGAACGACCGGCAUCAUUCAUUAGUGUGACGAGAAGAAAGAGCCUUCGUUACGAUCAGAAAGCUGUUGAGAGAUGAGCAAUGUCCAGCUUGCGGGCUCCAUGCCGCGGAGGGGGGAAGGCUGGCCGCCCGUGUGGCAAUGGGCACGCAGGAAGCAUGCGACUGCCCAUCCUGGGUCACCAGUAAUUGGUGAGCAUCACGGGUAAAGAGUUUUAUGGGUCGUAAUAGUUUUCUGUAAAUGAAAAUUGCUCCUCCUUGCCGGGCAAUUGAGUUAUAUUUGACUUAAUCCAGGAAAGUCUUAUUCAUCUGAACUAUGACAUACAUGAGUCAAUAAGUGAGUGUCACCCGGAGACUUAACGAGGCACUGUUACCCUUUCAGUCCUAGGAUGGUCGCUUCCAGAGGUGUUUGGAGGUUGGCUGUGCUGUUUCGAUCAUCUCCGGAUGAAGCUGAUGGGGUGACUGGUGGAGGACGGGGGUGGGACAAGGUCUUCCAUAGGCUUUUCGCCGAUUUCACCAAGCUCAGCAGCUACAUGUCAAAGGCAGCCCAGAGGUUUUCAUUUUCCCCUGUGAGCCUCUCAUUUACUCAGUGGUUUCCAUGAAAGACCAAGUUCUUAAGAAGCGAUUAUUGCAGUAAUAUUAAUAAUAACAGUGAUGACAUUUUCCCUCUAAAGGAUGUUCGCAGUUGGGGCUUCUGUGAUUUUCCACAGGGACACUAGCCAGGGAAAAGGAAAGCUUCCAUCCGCUUUUAAAUGUACCCUGGAGUCCACGUAUGUUCCUGAACUCAAGCCUGUGUUGGGUCGCAUGGGAGCUCUUCCUCAAAACGUUCAGAACAGCAAAAACAUUAUCUUGUGAAACAAGGAAAGACACAAAUUUAAGUUUAAACCAAGAGGGAGAAGGAUUCCCUGAGAGUCCCAGCACAGCAGGUGUUCUGGGGUCCCUUGGGUGGGCACCCCAAGGGUCUCCCAGGAGCUCCGAGCUACCCUCUCGCAUUCUUCUUCAAGGGCCAUGUGCUGAUGAACACAGCACUCUGCAUUUAUAUGGUGGAGCAUCUCAACACAGUGCCCCAGAGCCAGCAGGGAGCUCUGUCAGGGGAAAAGCAACUUUCCCUGUUUUAAUAUGGAUGAAUUGAUCCUUGGGCAUUUCUUUCUUUGGGAGAAUCAGACAGAUUGCAUCAAGUCUCUGAGUGGAGAGUGGAAAUUAUGCGUCUGUGGAGUGUGGAUUAAGCUAUUUGCUGGACGUUAUAUAUUUCCCUGCCUGCAUUAACAGUACAAAUGAGUCAUAAAUACCACAGAGAUAUGUGUAGAUUUUUAAACAUUAACUUGGGAUUUGAAAGUUAGAAUAAUUAGCCUCAGGAUAAAUGUAUAGAAUAUGAGAUUCUAUUUUAAAUGUGUGUCAACGCCACUGAAUCCUCGGUUUAUGUGGGUCUCUACAUGUGGUUAACAGGAGAAACUAGUUGAGGGAAGAAUGAGCGUGUUUAUGAUAACUUAGCUCCUAGGUUUCAAGAUUAGUUUGCUGUCAAGACAGAUUUUAAUCCUUUCAUUUUAUUCUUCCAUCAUUUAUAAUCAAGUCUUUGCUGGUGGUCUGAACUUCUCACCCUUGACAGACACACACCCAGAAGCAAAAACAAAGCAAACUUAGUUAAAUAUGACAUAUUCCCUGGUCGUAAUGAAAUUCUAAGCUCCCCAUAUCCAUUUUGAUAAUAAUGAUCAUUCCUUUCAAAAUAAGGAUCCAUACUUUCCACUAGGCUGGCAAUUUUGAAGAUUUGCAUCAAAAAUUUUUUUUAAGUAUCUACAUGUAUCAGGCACUUCUGGCUUCCACUUCCGAUCCUCUCCACCUCCCCUCCUACUCCACCCAGGUGGUUCUUAGCUGACUUCUAUCGGCUUUGUGGGCUGGGGAGCAGCCCUACCUCAAGCCUGAGUGGGGUGUCUCUGGUAGCAGGUGAUGCGGAGGGGGGUGCCUAUCAGCACUGACCCCCCCACACACACCGUCCAACCCAGAGGUGUGGGGAGAUGGAGGCGUGGUCUACCCCUGAUCAAUGGUGGGCAGGAGCUGGCAAGCACAUGUCCUCCCCAGGAGGACAGUUCUGAGACUCAUUUCGUGAGGCUCCUCAGAGAGUCCCACCAGACAGGGCCCCCUGGCCAACUGGGUAACACAUCCUUGACUCGGCUUCCCUCCCUUUUAUCUCUGCUUCUCUGACCCUUCCUGCUGCUUCCUGGGUUUACACUCCCAAGUAAACAUUUCUCCGGCUCUGCUGUUGAGGGAACCCAGAUCAAGAGUAAUAUGAGUUUAUAUCAAGAAAAAUCCCCCCCACACUUAAUUAUUACCACUGACAUUCUAAUUUCCUACCCACAGAAAUUAAAUUUUAAUAGUCCUUUCCUUUACAGUUUUAUCAAUUAAGCUUCCCUGUCUCAUAAUGACACCUGCUGGAAUUGUGCUGGUAAUGAUUAAAUAGCGUAUCUACCCGUGAGCCACAGGGGCAGGGAAGGGCAGUGGAAGGGAAAUGGACUUUGAGUUUCCAUUCCAGCCCCACCUCUUACUAACUGUGUGACUUUGGGCAAAUCACUUAACCUCUCUGGGCCUCAUUUGUGAAAUGACCUUAAUACCAUAAAAGUACAAGAUUAAUGACAAAUAAAAAAAGAAAGAACCUUUCACCUGGAAGUGUAAACACUUCUGUUAAGUCAAUGAAGAAGCAUAAAAUGAAAUUGCGGGGUGUUUCGAAAAUAACAACCAAGAAAACACAACACAUCAAAAUGUCUGUGACAGAAAGCUAAAACCUGGAGCAAAAUUAUAACAUUGAGCACCCGUAACAGUAAACAUGAAAACAUGGAAAGGAAUGAGUGAAACACCCACUGAAAAAUAAGAGACAGACACACAGGACAGACAAAUGUUUACCUUUUGAAAAUUCAAAGAAAAUUAAUAACCCACCCACUGGAAAAUUGCUCAUGGGAAAAAAAGAUAAGAAAAAAAAUAAGCAACACAGAGGAUGAAAAAAGGACAAAACUACAAAUCAGCAGAAAUGUAAAAUAUAGAAAGACAAUAUUAUAAAAAUGUCAUGCCAAAGAAGAUGAAUACUGAGAUUAAUGGGCAAAUUUCUGGAAAAAUUACGGCUUGUCAACACUGACUGGAGAGGAAAUAGAAAACCCAAUCCUCCCUAAGUUGAUUUACGGCACAACCCCAAUGAGACUCUCAUGUUGGUUUCUGAAGCUGUUGAUUAUAAUGUCAUGAAGAACAAACAAGCAAAGAAAAACCAGGAAAAGAAAUGCAGUGUUGGGGCGACCUGAGUGCCUCAGUUGGUUAAGUGACCAACUUGUGAUUUCAGCUCAGUGAUCUCAUGGGUCAUGGGAUCGAGCCCCACGUCAGACUUCCCACUCAGUGGGGAGUCUCUCAAGAUUCUCUCUCUUCCUCUCCCUCUGCCCCUCUCCCUGC